ACCUCAAUAUGGCACCUUAAUGGUAUUAUUCAAGUAUUGCAAGAUAUCAAUGUUGAAGUAACCCUUCAUACAACUUAACUGUUUGAGAUAUUUGAUGGGUUAGAUUUACAUAUAGUUUAAGGGAAUGUAACAAAUGCAUCACUGAAUUGUUUGGCAUGACUCACUUAGGCCCCGUUUGUUUUGAAGGAAAUUUUUUUAUCAGAAAAUGAUUUUCCCAUUUCCUUUUGAUUGUUUUGUUAAGUGGUGGAAAACAUUUUUGUUUUGUAGAGAAGGAAUGCGACAUUUUCUUCUCUACUCCAUUACAUUUCUUUUUUCACCUCCCACAAAUCCUUUCCUUUCCACUUCCAUUUCCUUUUUGUCCAUAACUUUUCUUCCAAGGAAACCUAGAAAAUUCUGUUUUCCCUUGAAAAUUAUGUUAACAUUACCGUUGAAACAAACGGAGCCUUAGCCUUAACUUUUUAGGAGGCUUGGUGACUUCCAUUUCUUUGUACUUGUGCAGCUUUGGGACAGGGGAAUGAUGUAGGGUCGUGCAAUGGGAGAUGCUGGAUCAGUACAUUCUGCUGCAAUGAUUCAAAAUGUUCAAAAUAUUGUCAUCUAAUUUGAUACUUGCCUUAAAUCAAGCUUGUCAAAUCAGAUGAAACUACUAAAAUUGUCAUACAAAGUAUCUCAGCACCUCGAUCUUGAUAGGGCAUCAGUAGCUACAUUCUCCUUCCCGCACUUGUACAGAAUCUCGAUCAUAACCAGGUCUAGUUGUAACAUAUUGUAUUUACUGUUGGGAAUAUAAUGCAUUCGGAGGUUUUUAUAAGUUUGGGCCCAGUCCGGUUAAGUGGCCCAGUGGGCUAGUAGGACUUAAACCCAUCUUGUUUUGUUUCCUUUUCUUGUGAAACAUAUAAAUACUCCCUAUUAUUCUUUUCCUAGUACAAGAUAUAUUCAGAUUCACGGGGAGACAGAAAACCCUAAAUACAAACCCUAAUAUCUCCAUUCGAGAUCUGAGCAGUUCUUGAGCAAUUCCAACCUUUGAGUUCGGGUUGUAGAAUUCAGAGGUGUUGUGUUAACCUUGGGGGGCGUUCGUCACUAUAAGCCUGCACCGGUAGGGUGGCGAAAUUCGCUUCUAAGGCAGUGGCCUCCAUACCACGAUGCAAUGCUAUUCUUAUGAGAUCUACAAUCAAGUAAUAUCAUUUCCUUGUAUAUUAUUAUUUCUGAUAUCAACAGUUAUUUUACCUACAUUUACCAGUGUCUGAAACUCUUGAAAGUAUCUUCAUCCUGUGAUUUCUCAAUAUAAUGCCUAUCUUCAUAUUCAGGCUUCAUAGGCCCUUGUUGUUUA
This is a long non-coding RNA of Spinacia oleracea (spinach), 1324 nucleotides long. RefSeq lists it as uncharacterized. The record is from RefSeq and is a predicted model, not a curated record. Lineage: Eukaryota; Viridiplantae; Streptophyta; Magnoliopsida; Caryophyllales; Amaranthaceae. The transcript has 2 exons.